Small nucleolar RNA from Ziziphus jujuba (common jujube), 86 nucleotides. RefSeq annotates it as small nucleolar RNA Z102/R77. NCBI's taxonomy places the organism in Eukaryota, Viridiplantae, Streptophyta, Magnoliopsida, Rosales, Rhamnaceae. The record is from RefSeq and is a predicted model, not a curated record. The transcript has a single exon.
GAACGAAAUGAUGAGUAAUUUAUUUCCCUAUUGGUUUGAAAGCCGUAAUGAUGGCGAAAAUCAGUAUUAGCUCUAGCUGAUCGUUC